RNAcentral lists this long non-coding RNA (6776 nucleotides) under Theobroma cacao (cacao). Its description in RNAcentral is "long non-coding RNA (TCAC_LNC000766)". The record is from RNAcentral. Lineage: Eukaryota; Viridiplantae; Streptophyta; Magnoliopsida; Malvales; Malvaceae.
CAGCAACAAGAACAAAGGAAGAACAAAGGGAAAAACAAGAAAAACCUAGGUGAAAAUUUAAGGAAACAAGCUAGGUAAGUUAGAAUUUCUUUAAUUCUCCUUGAUACCUAGCUUACCCAUGCUUUUGUUCUUGAUUUUCAUGGUUGAAUAUUGAGUUAUCAUGAUGAAUUCAAUUCUGAAAAAUGGGUAUGGAAGAGGAAUUGUUGUUGGAAUAAUUUGAUUUUAGACUAUGUUAGUGUUUAGGGAUAGUUAAGCAUGGUUAUGAACAAAAACACAAAAGAAAUAUUCAAUUUCUCUAGGGUUCCUUGUUGGCCGAACCAUGAGGGCUGAAUAUCAAUGGGGGAUUGUUUUUAUUUCAAGGAAAAUGGCAUGGAAAAUGAUGAAUUAAGGUGAAACGGUUAUGUAAAAAAAAAUUCGAUGCUAGUGCACCAAAUGACCAAAUUUUUCUAUAAGGAAUUGUGAGGGUUCUAAUGCUGAAUUUGGCUUUAUUUAAAUGUAUGUGGUAAAUUAAGGUAUUAGAGGAGAAAUGAAUUAAUUUGGAGGUGAUUUGGACACAAUCGCCGAUUAAUCGGGUGAUCGGUCGAAUUUAAUCGAUACCGUGAUUAAGCGGUAAUCGGGCAUAUUUGUGCAUUUACAUAUCAAGCAUUAGUAGUUUAAAUUAAUUUAUAUCAAUUUAGGGACAAUAUAGUAAAUUCCUUGACUUUGUUAUUUGUCAAGGUGGUGAGACGUCCGGAAAAGGCAAAGGAAUUGCGCUUGAGGGCUAUUAGUCCGAGUGCACCCGAAAUCUGGAUUUUCGAUACCGGUGAGUGGACUUGCAUUUCAAACUUGUUUUGGGGAAUAUGAAAGAUUCUAUCCAACUUGUCUUAGAAAAUGUACCUUGGGAACAAGCUUUUGUUAAAUGGUUUGAUGUUGUGAUAUGUGAUUGCUAUAGAUUCAUGCAUUAUUGCAAUAUGCUGAUAUAUAUAUAUAUGUGUGUGUGUGUGUGUGUGUGUGUGUGUGUGUGUGUUGUGCAUGAUGAAUGAUAUUGUGUAUAAUGACUGUAAACGUGUGUGUGCACGAUGUGGGGGGAUGCACAUGCCGGUGAUGAUGGUGGCGUGAGAGAUGGAUGAUGAUAGUGUCCGUGUGCACAAUGUGGGGGGAUGUACACGAUGGGACUGAUGUGCACGAUGUGGGGGGAUACACACGAUGGUGCCGGCUAUGUGCACGAUGUGGGGGGAUGUACAUGAGCCGGGUGUGAUUAUGAUGAUAUUGAUGUUUAUCUAUCUAAUUAUGCAUAUCUAGACUUAUGAAAUGAAAGCUCAUGAAUGUGAUAUAUGGUUGACAUAUAUGUGAAAUUUGAUACAUUGCACUUUGAGAAUUUGCAUGAGUUUUAUGUUGAUUUUGUUAGUUUAGUAAGAUGGCCUUUUUGUUGAGUGAAGGGAAACUUUUCUCUUGUUGCUCUGUUUCACUACAGCGAAAUUCAUUCUCGCUACAACGAGAAACUCUCGAGUUUGAGGGCCUUCACCAGAACUGGUUCUCGCUACAACGAGAAACUUUCUGUCCAUUUUACUAACUUGUGGGUUUUUGCCAUAUUUCCUAUUUCUUUGGUACCAUAGUUGAGCAUGGAUUUUUGUAAAGUGAUUUACUCAUAUGGGGUUUACAUGAGGGGUUUAAAAGAGCUAAAACAAUUACAUGGUUUGAGAAAAUGAAUGCAUCAUGAUUUCGAUAAACAUUCCUUACGGUAUGUUUGUUCCCUUCUUGUUCACUCACUGAGUAUUGUACUCACGUUUUAUAAAAAUUCAUAUUUUCAGAUCAGGUGACUGUUGGACCCUAGAUCGAGGAGUCCCCGUAGUGUAUCUCUUGGGUAUGUGUCUGGCAUUCGAUAGUAAUCCCUUUUAUUGUAAAUGUCUCCGCUGGAAGUCAUGGGUCAUUUUGUAUUGUGAAUACAAUCUAACAAUGUGAAUAUGUGUAUGCAAUGUAAAUUACUAAAUACAUGACUGGUAUAGUGCAUGCAUAUUAUUAUCGAUAAUGCCAUUGUGUUUUGGCUAUGUUCACACUCGGGAAAAGGUGUGCGUGUAUGCAUGAUAUGAUAAAUUUGUUAAGUAAAGGUAAAUGGAUAGGCUUACUUGGGCUUAGUGAGCUAUGCUCAUUGAGCUCAUGCGCUGGUCAUGGCCUGGGAAAUUAAGUCGUGACAGAAACAAAGAGUUUAGAUUUUGGCAAACUAAUGACUAAACUAAAUGCUGCAGCAAACUCAAUAAGACAUUCCAUAACAACCUGCAUUUGCCCUGUAUCCGCUUGAGUAAAAAGAAGUAAAUCAUCCACAAAAAAUAAAUGUGAAAGUGUAAGGCCAGACCAAGAUGCUUUCGUUUGUCUUCCAUUUCUUCCUAUAAGCCCUCUCUUCUAUCAAGUAAGACAAUUUCUCCAUACACAAAACAAACAAAUAUGGGGAUAAAAAUUCACCUUGUUUUAAACCCCAUUGUGCAAAGAAAUACAGAGGACAUUCACCGUUAUAAAUUAAAGAUAGCUAGUUUAAAGUAACACAAAACAUAAUCAAAGUAAUCAAUUGUGAGGGAAAAUUAAAAUCAAUCAAAAUUUGCCUCAAAAAUUCCUAAUCCAUACUUUCAUAGAUUUAGUGUAAGUUAAUCUUCAUAAUCACACCCCCUUUCCUUUCUUUUCGUUUCAUAAAAGAAUGCACAACUUCCUAAGUAAUUACAAUAUUAUCACUAGUACUUCUGCUUGGGAGAAAACUACUUUAGAAUGGUCCUAUCGUCUCCUUAAAAAGAGGCUUUAAUCUAUUUACCAAAAGCUUCGUAAGAAGUUUAUACGAAGUAUUCAGUAAACUGAUAGGUCUAAAAUCCAUAAUUGUCAGUGGAUUUUCCCUCUUUAGAAUUAGAGUGAUGUAGGCCUUAAAAAAUCGAACAAGAAAAAACCAUCUACCAAAGCUUGAUUCACAAAGGAGCUAAUAUUAUUUUUUGACUACCUCCUAAUUUCUUUGCAAGAACAAAGGUUGGAUUUCAUCCGGCCCUAGUGCUUUAAGACCCUACAUAGAAAAAAAAGCUAUUCAAAUUUCCUCCAUACUAAAAGGCUUUAUAAGUUUUGCUUGACCAUUCAAUGACAUCAUAAGCUACCAUCAAUUGUAUCUUUUCUACUAAAAAGUGAAACAUAAAAAGAGACAACAUGUUCCUUUAACAUUGUCGGAUCCAUCUCUUAAUGAUCAUUCACCAUUAAUGCAACCACUCUACUCCUUGUUUAUUUUACCACUGUCGAAAAUAUGAUAGAAUUUGGUGUUUUGCUCCCCAUCUCGAAUCCAUUAUGAUUUGGACUUUUGAUACUAUAGUAGUUCUUCUUGAUACAAAACUAGUUGAUAUUCAUGUUGAAUAUCCGCCUCUACCUUUUGUAAAAAUAAAGACUAAUCAUAUAAGGUACUAUGUUGGAUGCCAGCUAUCCUUGACACCAACUUUCUUUUUUUAUGAUAGAUGACUCCAAAAUGGUCAUAACUCUAUUUUUUUAAUGCAAAAGUAAUUAAAGCAAUGGAUUGAAGCAAUUAAUCACCAAACUCCUAAGCUAAAUUGAAUACAUUGUCAAAAUGCUGAUGAGUCAACCAAGCUGCUUGAAUCUAAAUGGUUUAUUCUCUUUAAGAGGUGGAUUUGUCAUGUCCAAGUGAAAGAGAACUGGAUGAUGGUCUAAACUUAAAUGCAAGAGAUUCACAACCCUUGCUUUAAGUAAUUUUUUUGAGCUAAAGGGUUCAUUAGUUAUCCAACCUUUCUUGAAUUAUAACUCUUCCAUUUACCUUACGAGACCAAGUGAAUUUAGCACCAAUAACACCUAUAUCUGAUAGACUACAAGCAUCCCAUUUAUCCAUGAAUUACCGAGCUCUGUUAACACAGAAUCUAGAUUCUCCACUUUUCUCUUCACAUUAAGCAAUAUCAUUAAAAUCACCUAGCACCACCCACGAUGGAUUUACGGUUGUAGAAAACCUCCUCAGCUCAUUCCAAAAAAUAUCUUUCCAUUAUCAAUGAGGUUAUACAUAAACAUGGGACAACACCAAACUCAAAUUCAAAUCUUAUAUCAACAAGUGGACAGCUUGAUUAUUCAACUAAAGGCUUUGUAUUUUAAUUCUAUCCCAUUUCCAAAGUACAGGAAACCACCUGCAAAAUCCGAAGAUAAUACCACAAACGAAUAAUCAAAACCCAACUUUUUAGCAAAAUCCAAAGCCAAACUCUCCUUAUUACAUUUAGUUUCAAGAAGAACAAUAACAUUAAGGACAUAAGUUCUUAUUAAAUCUUUACAAUUUUAAAGGCAUUUUUUGUUCAAAAUGACUCUGCAAUUCCAUGAAAUUAUCUUCAUAUCAAAUUGAAUGGAUUAGUUUACCUGUUAAACAAGCUUUUUUUUUUUUUAAGUUCAAACCAAAUCGAAUCAUCUUCUCUCUUAUGGAAAACUUUUAUCAUGGUUUCAUACGAGUCUUUAUGCUCUUUUUGGAUACUACCUCUCAUCUUAAGACUUUGUUCAAGGGAGUCCAUAUGAUGAGCAAGACCAAUAGGAGGUAAAAAUCUAAGGUCUAACUGAAGAGUUGUAUUGUGUCCCAAAUUCAUCACCAUUAUUCCUAAACCCAAUGUCAUCUUGAAAGGCCCAUGGUAAGGGUUUCUACUUGAAUUGCCAAUUAAGAAUAAGCCUAUUUGUUUUAACCAAUUCAUUAUUCUACUUAACAAUAUUCUCUCUCUUAGCCAACUUUGGUAGAUUCUUUUCCACUAAAAUUGAGUCCAUCGAAUUAUUCUUUCCCUCUUUAGCUACCUUCAAGGACUUAGCCACAAUCGCUAUAAAAUUUCCCAUAUUCCUUGCCAAUUCAUGGAGAAUUUAUUCAACAAAUGGCUCAUUGUUUUGACUAGUUAAAGGGUCAUUAUCAAUUUCAGCAAAUUCCUCCCUUAAAAUAUAAAAAAUGAUAUACAAAAUAUCUUUUUUUACUAGCACCCGAUUUAUUGCUUUUAUUCCCUGAUCCCUAUCAAGAUUUCUUUUGUACCAUCAUCCAUGAACCAUAAUUAAUAGUGUUACAGGUAUCACCGUUUACCUUUGUUGCUUCGAUUAUCGUUGGACCUCUUUUCUUUGCAGCUAUUGUGUCGCCACUUAGAUACUCAUUAUCCACACCAACGUUUUGUAAUGGACAGUUGUCCAUUCUGUGCCGAAUAACUCCACAUUGAAACCAAACUAUGUAAAUAGCUUCAUAUUCUACCUUCUGCAUCGAGUCUCCAAUUUUGAUCUUAGGGAUCAAAGGUUUUGCAUGAUCAAUUUCAACACAAAUUCUCACAAAUUUCCCCUGUGUCACCAAGUUUGUGUUGGCAUCAAGCUAGUAACGGUUUACCAAGGAGCCUACCAAUCUUCAUUAACACUUCUUCAUUGAAAAUAUUCGAUCGACAACUCUAGCAACCUGAUCCAAAUUAUAGUCAAACCUAAAGAAAUAGUACAAAGCUUGAAAUUUGGCUUCCAUGUUUGAACAAGCAGAUAGUGACCUAAUAUUUUCCAGGGAUUCCCUAUGAACCUUGAUCAUGUCAUGGUUUUGAUCAAACUUGACUAUAUAGUAACCAAGACCUAAGUCAAUCAUUUCAAAAUCACCAUCCCAACACCAUAACUUAAUGAUUCGGCUAUGAAGAGCAUUAAAAGCCAAAGACUUACCCAGCAGUUUGAUUAUUAAAGUGGAACACCAUGGUUGUCGAAUCUCUUUCUUUUUUCCUUAUUGAAACAGAUUCGUGGAAUUUUAUCUUAUUCUUCACCAUUCACCAUAUCAUCAUCAUCAACCCAUUCUUGUUCUAGAUUAAAUGUAAUUUUGUCAAUAUUAUCCAUGGCAGUAGCACUAUGACCAUAUUUUUUUCCCUUACAAAAUAGUCUGUUUGAAAGUUUUUUGUGUUGGAUCAUUACUACACCCCUUUUUUGCUUAUUCUCUUCCUGACUUAAUCCUUUUUGUACUUUGUUCAAAGUGAUCAACUUCCUUUGGAAACAAUGGCUUUUUCAUCAGUUUUUAGAAAAAAACGAUCUCUUGAUAGCAUAUACUUUAAUUAUUAUUUUUUAUUUUUAAUAAAUAUCAAAUUUACAAAUUUGAACUUCAAAUUUUUUAAAACAUAUUUUUUUGAUAUUCUAAAUUUAUAUAAUAUAAUAAUCAAAAUUAAAUUCAUUUGAUAAAAAAAUCAAAUAAAAACAAAAAAAUAUAAUAAGAAGAGUAAUACAUUUUUAUAAUAAUGAACAAUAUUACUAAGGUAAUUUUGUUUUUUGGCAUUGAUAUUAAUAAGAUAAGAAACUGUUCAUUAAAGAAAACACUAAGAAAAUGCAUUAACGACUUUAUGACAAAUAAAGGUUUUUCUAUAAAAGAAGGAUUUGCUUUUUUUGACAGUCCACUGACUGGAGCUUGAAAUUUGAUGAUGAAUAUGUGAUAGGUGUUUGUUUCCAUUAGAUUAUAAAAUUUUAUUUUCUAAAAAAAAAAAACUAAUCUAUAACCUUAUAUAAAAGGAAGUUCUGAUGGAGCUCUUAGAUAGUGCCACAUGGACACAUCAGCAAGGGAAUGCUGCACGUCAAAAGAAGUGAUCAAGUUUUUCACGUGGAGCCAUCAAGAGAGAGUUGUUAUGGAAUUUAUCCUUGGGCGGGCUGCAUCUUUGGUGGCCUAUAUGGGUGGUGGGUUGCAAAUGGCAAGAUUUGCCAGGUCAAUUCUAUUAGUAAUAAUAACUAAGUAUUGUUAUAUGAGGGUUUUUUUCUUUCAACUUAUUUAUGUGAGGUUUCAAGACUUUCCUUAGUUGGUUAUUGGCCAAAACAAA